GCCGUCUUAGCUCAGUUAGGUAGAGCGUAUCCAUGGUAAGGAUGAGGUCAGCGGUUCGAACCCACUAGACGGCU
Molecule: transfer RNA, 74 nt
Filed under: Candidatus Paralactobacillus gallistercoris
Lineage: Bacteria; Bacillati; Bacillota; Bacilli; Lactobacillales; Lactobacillaceae
Description: tRNA-Thr
Rfam family: tRNA
About the family: Transfer RNA (tRNA) molecules are approximately 80 nucleotides in length. Their secondary structure includes four short double-helical elements and three loops (D, anti-codon, and T loops).
Source: RNAcentral